This 335-nucleotide unclassified non-coding RNA is filed under the name fungal sp. RNAcentral's name for it is "partial internal transcribed spacer region". The stretch from base 1 to 46 matches the Rfam family "Eukaryotic small subunit ribosomal RNA", at positions 1786 to 1831 of the family's 1831-position model. The record is from RNAcentral. Lineage: Eukaryota; Fungi.
AAGUCGUAACAAGGUUUCCGUAGGUGAACCUGCGGAAGGAUCAUUAAUGAAUAGACUUGGUGGGUUGUAGCUGGCAUUUCAAAUGCAUGUGCACACUCGUCAUCUUUAUCUUUCCACCUGUGCACCUCUUGUAGAUCUGGAGACCAUCCAAUUGGCUCUGAGGAAACUCAGUUUUGGGGUUUGUAGGUGCUUCUGCAGCUUCUGCUCUCCCUGGGUAGCCAGGUCUAUGUUUUUUCUCUACAUACACCAUAGAAAAGCAACAGAAUGUCAUUGAAUGGGUCUUUGAACCUAUAAUAAAAGUUAUACAACUUUCAGCAACGGAUCUCUUGGCUCUC